GCAAUUUAUACCGUGAAACUGCGAAUGGCUCAUUAAAUCAGUUAUCGUUUAUUUGAUAAUACCUUACUACUUGGAUAACCGUGGUAAUUCUAGAGCUAAUACAUGCUGAAAAUCCCGACUUCGGAAGGGAUGUGUUUAUUAGAUAAAAAACCAAUGCCCUUCGGGGCUUUUUGGUGAUUCAUGAUAACUUUACGGAUCGCAUAGCCUUGCGCUGGCGACGGUUCAUUCAAAUUUCUGCCCUAUCAACUUUCGAUGGUAAGGUAUUGGCUUACCAUGGUUUCAACGGGUAACGGGGAAUUAGGGUUCGAUUCCGGAGAGGGAGCCUGAGAAACGGCUACCACAUCCAAGGAAGGCAGCAGGCGCGCAAAUUACCCAAUCCCGACACGGGGAGGUAGUGACAAUAAAUACUGAUACAGGGCUCUUUUGGGUCUUGUAAUUGGAAUGAGUACAAUUUAAACCUCUUAACGAGGAACAAUUGGAGGGCAAGUCUGUGGCCA
Molecule: ribosomal RNA, 497 nt
Filed under: Pleosporaceae sp. N50
Lineage: Eukaryota; Fungi; Ascomycota; Dothideomycetes; Pleosporales; Pleosporaceae
Description: SSU rRNA
Rfam family: Eukaryotic small subunit ribosomal RNA
Source: RNAcentral